UGUAUGUUGGGUUGGUGGAUUUUGACUCAACGCAUGAGUUGCACAAAAUAACCCAAAUUCCAUAUAAAUAACCCAUAAUGGGUAAAACAUUUCAUAACCCAGCGGUUGGGUAGAUGAAAUAACCCAGCUAUUUUAGGGUUGUGUGACUCUUCAAAU
Long non-coding RNA from Sander lucioperca (pikeperch), 156 nucleotides. RefSeq lists it as uncharacterized. The record is from RefSeq and is a predicted model, not a curated record. Lineage: Eukaryota; Metazoa; Chordata; Actinopteri; Perciformes; Percidae. The transcript is spliced from 3 exons.